GACGAACGCUGGCGGCGUGCUUAACACAUGCAAGUCGAACGGAAAGGCCCUGCUUGCAGGGUACUCGAGUGGCGAACGGGUGAGUAACACGUGGGUGAUCUGCCCUGCACUUCGGGAUAAGCCUGGGAAACUGGGUCUAAUACCGGAUAGGAGCCAUUUUUAGUGUGAUGGUUGGAAAGUUUUUUCGGUGUAGGAUGAGCUCGCGGCCUAUCAGCUUGUUGGUGGGGUAAUGGCCUACCAAGGCGGCGACGGGUAGCCGGCCUGAGAGGGUGGACGGCCACAUUGGGACUGAGAUACGGCCCAGACUCCUACGGGAGGCAGCAGUGGGGAAUAUUGCACAAUGGGCGCAAGCCUGAUGCAGCGACGCCGCGGGGGGGAUGACGGCCUUCGGGUUGUAAACGCCUUUCGCUAGGGACGAAGCUUUUUGUGACGGUACCUAGAGAAGAAGCACCGGCUAACUACGUG
RNAcentral lists this ribosomal RNA (465 nucleotides) under uncultured bacterium. RNAcentral's name for it is "partial 16S ribosomal RNA". It matches the Rfam family "Bacterial small subunit ribosomal RNA", at positions 28 to 507 of the family's 1533-position model. The record is from RNAcentral.